UCCGGUUUGGCACCGGCAGUCUCUCAUGAGUCCCCGACGUUACUCGCUGGCAACAUGAGACAGGGGUUGCGCUCGUUGCGCCACUUAAGGCAACACCUCACGGCACGAGCUGACGACAGCCAUGCACCACCUGUGCGGGCUCCGAAGAGCGCCGUGUUUCCACGUCUUCACCCCGCAUGUCAAGUCCUGGUAAGGUUCUUCGCGUUGCGUCGAAUUAAGCCACAUACUCCACCGCUUGUGCAGGCCCCCGUCAAUUUCUUUGAGUUUCAGCCUUGCGGCCGUACUCCCCAGGCGGGGCACUUAAUGCGUUAGCGCCGGCACUCAGGGGGUCGCUCCCCCAAGCACCUAGUGCCCAUCGUUUACGGCGUGGACUAC
This 375-nucleotide unclassified non-coding RNA is filed under the name uncultured bacterium. RNAcentral's name for it is "contains 16S-23S intergenic spacer region". The record is from RNAcentral.